MicroRNA precursor from Tetranychus urticae (two-spotted spider mite), 79 nucleotides. It matches the Rfam family "mir-5729 microRNA precursor family". Lineage: Eukaryota; Metazoa; Arthropoda; Arachnida; Trombidiformes; Tetranychidae. The record is from Rfam.
UUACCCUGACCAGUGGUAAGAUAAGCAAAGGCUAGGGGUGACGACCUCUAAGUCUGCGGAUCGAACCCGGUCAGGGUGC